GUAGGUGGCAAGCGUUGUCCGGAAUUAUUGGGCGUAAAGCGCGCGCAGGCGGUCCUUUAAGUCUGAUGUGAAAGCCCACGGCUCAACCGUGGAGGGUCAUUGGAAACUGGGGGACUUGAGUACAAAAGAGGAAAGCGGAAUUCCACGUGUAGCGGUGAAAUGCGUAGAGAUGUGGAGGAACACCAGUGGCGAAGGCGGCUUUCUGGUCUGUAACUGACGCUGAGGCGCGAAAGCGUGGGGAGCAAACAGGAUUAGAUACCCUGGUAGUCCACGCCGUAAACGAUGAGUGCUAAGUGUUAGGGGGUUUCCCGCCCCCUUAGUGCUGCAGCUAACGCAUUAAGCACUCCGCCUGGGGAGUACGGCCGCAAGGCUG
RNAcentral lists this ribosomal RNA (373 nucleotides) under uncultured organism. Its description in RNAcentral is "partial 16S ribosomal RNA". It matches the Rfam family "Bacterial small subunit ribosomal RNA", at positions 527 to 896 of the family's 1533-position model. The record is from RNAcentral.